Molecule: ribosomal RNA, 254 nt
Filed under: uncultured bacterium
Lineage: Bacteria
Description: partial 16S ribosomal RNA
Rfam family: Bacterial small subunit ribosomal RNA
Source: RNAcentral
UACGUAGGGUGCAAGCGUUAAUCGGAAUUACUGGGCGUAAAGCGUGCGCAGGCGGUUCGUUGUGUCGGCGGUGAAAGCCCCGGGCUUAACCUGGGAAUGGCCGUCGAAACUGGCGAACUGGAGUGUGGCAGAGGGGGGUGGAAUUCCGCGUGUAGCAGUGAAAUGCGUAGAGAUGCGGAGGAACACCGAUGGCGAAGGCAGCCCCCUGGGCUGACACUGACGCCUCAGGCACGAAAGCGUGGGGAGCAAACAGG